CCCCUCUCCCCUCCCUUUUCUCUACUUUUUUCAUGUGGGGAUAUCGGCACAGUUUGAUUCACGCCGAACCGGUACCGAACCGACCAUACCGUCCGAUUUCGGACGGUAUGGAUGCGAACCGGAUCGAACUCAGCGGUUCGAUGCGGUUCGGGAGGAUUUUUCAAAAAAAAAUCCGAACCAGAUCGAUAAAGUAUCGGUCCGGCUUGGUAUGCCCCGUACCGAACGGUUCGGCCCGGUACGGCGAACCAUGGUAGGGAUGUUGAGAGCC
This 268-nucleotide long non-coding RNA is filed under the name Elaeis guineensis (African oil palm). RNAcentral describes it as "long non-coding RNA (EGUI_LNC018909)". The record is from RNAcentral. Lineage: Eukaryota; Viridiplantae; Streptophyta; Magnoliopsida; Arecales; Arecaceae.